Molecule: transfer RNA, 73 nt
Filed under: Caudoviricetes sp.
Lineage: Duplodnaviria; Heunggongvirae; Uroviricota; Caudoviricetes
Description: tRNA-Met
Rfam family: tRNA
About the family: Transfer RNA (tRNA) molecules are approximately 80 nucleotides in length.
Source: RNAcentral
GGACCGUUAUCUCAGUGGCUAGAGCGACCGCCUCAUAAGCGGUUUGUCCUGGGUUCAAAUCACAGAUGGUCUA